UACGUAGGGUGCGAGCGUUGUCCGGAAUUACUGGGCGUAAAGAGCUCGUAGGCGGUCUGUCGCGUCUGCUGUGAAAACUCAGGGCUUAACCCUGAGCUUGCAGUGGGUACGGGCAGACUAGAGUGCGGUAGGGGAGACUGGAAUUCCUGGUGUAGCGGUGAAAUGCGCAGAUAUCUGGAGGAAUACCGGUGGCGAAGGCGGCAUCCUGGACCCGACAAUUUGACGC
This 226-nucleotide ribosomal RNA is filed under the name uncultured bacterium. Its description in RNAcentral is "partial 16S ribosomal RNA". It matches the Rfam family "Bacterial small subunit ribosomal RNA", at positions 524 to 746 of the family's 1533-position model. The record is from RNAcentral.